GAUGAACGCUGGCGGCGUGCCUAAUACAUGCAAGUCGAGCGAACAGACGAGGAGCUUGCUCCUCUGACGUUAGCGGCGGACGGGUGAGUAACACGUGGAUAACCUACCUAUAAGACUGGGAUAACUUCGGGAAACCGGAGCUAAUACCGGAUAAUAUAUUGAACCGCAUGGUUCAAUAGUGAAAGACGGUUUUGCUGUCACUUAUAGAUGGAUCCGCGCCGCAUUAGCUAGUUGGUAAGGUAACGGCUUACCAAGGCAACGAUGCGUAGCCGACCGUAGAGGGUGAUCGGCCACACUGGAACUGAGACACGGACCAGACUCCUACGGGAGGCAGCAGUAGGGAAUCUUCCGCAAUGGGCGAAAGCCUGACGGAGCAACGCCGCGUAAGUGAUGAAGGUCUUCGGAUCGUAAAACUCUGUUAUUAGGGAAGAACAAAUGUGUAAGUAACUAUGCACGUCUUGACGGUACCUAAUCAGAAAGCCACGGCUAACUACGUG
RNAcentral lists this ribosomal RNA (497 nucleotides) under uncultured bacterium. RNAcentral's name for it is "partial 16S ribosomal RNA". It matches the Rfam family "Bacterial small subunit ribosomal RNA", at positions 28 to 507 of the family's 1533-position model. The record is from RNAcentral.